GCCGCAUUGGUUUAAUGGCAGAACGCGACCUUCCCAAGGUUGAAGCGAGGGUUCGAUUCCCUUAUGCGGCUCCA
RNAcentral lists this transfer RNA (74 nucleotides) under Clostridiaceae bacterium. RNAcentral's name for it is "tRNA-Gly". It matches the Rfam family "tRNA". Rfam says of the family: Transfer RNA (tRNA) molecules are approximately 80 nucleotides in length. Their secondary structure includes four short double-helical elements and three loops (D, anti-codon, and T loops). The record is from RNAcentral. Lineage: Bacteria; Bacillati; Bacillota; Clostridia; Eubacteriales; Clostridiaceae.